This 43-nucleotide non-coding RNA is filed under the name Clonorchis sinensis. The record is from RNAcentral. Lineage: Eukaryota; Metazoa; Platyhelminthes; Trematoda; Opisthorchiida; Opisthorchiidae.
GUCUACCUGAGGAGACCCAAGAAGGUCGAAACCGGUCGUGGAC